CCUACGGGAGGCAGCAGUGAGGAAUAUUGGUCAAUGGACGAGAGUCUGAACCAGCCAAGUAGCGUGAAGGAUGACUGCCCUAUGGGUUGUAAACUUCUUUUAUAAGGGAAUAAAACGAGGCACGUGUGCCUUUUUGCAUGUACUUUAUGAAUAAGGAUCGGCUAACUCCGUGCCAGCAGCCGCGGUAAUACGGGGGAUCCGAGCGUUAUCCGGAUUUAUUGGGUUUAAAGGGCGCGUAGAUGGGUUGUUAAGUAAGUUGUGAAAGUUUGCGGCUCAACCGGAAAAUGGCAAUUGAUACUGGCAGGCUUGAGUACAGGAGAGGUAGGCGGAAUGCGUGGUGUAGCGGUGAAAUGCUUAGAUAUCACGAAGAACCCCGAUUGCGAAGGCAGCUUACUAAACUGUGACUGACAUUGAUGCUCGAAAGUGUGGGUAUCAAACAGGAUUAGAUACCCGGGUAGUC
Molecule: ribosomal RNA, 460 nt
Filed under: uncultured bacterium
Lineage: Bacteria
Description: partial 16S ribosomal RNA
Rfam family: Bacterial small subunit ribosomal RNA
Source: RNAcentral